CAGGUGCUGCAUGGCUGUCGUCAGCUCGUGUCGUGAGAUGUUGGGUUAAGUCCCGCAACGAGCGCAACCCUUGUCAUUAGUUGCUACAUUCAGUUGGGCACUCUAAUGAGACUGCCGGUGACAAGCCGGAGGAAGUGGGGAUGACGUCAAGUCCUCAUGGCCCUUAUAGGUGGGGCUACACACGUCAUACAAUGGCUGGUACAAAGGGUUGCCAACCCGCGAGGGGGAGCCAAUCCCAUAAAGCCAGUCGUAGUCCGGAUCGUAGUCUGCAACUCGACUACGUGAAGUCGGAAUCGCUAGUAAUCGUGGAUCAGAAUGUCACGGUGAAUACGUUCCCGGGUCUU
Molecule: ribosomal RNA, 344 nt
Filed under: uncultured Rhodoferax sp.
Lineage: Bacteria; Pseudomonadati; Pseudomonadota; Betaproteobacteria; Burkholderiales; Comamonadaceae
Description: bacterial SSU rRNA
Rfam family: Bacterial small subunit ribosomal RNA
Source: RNAcentral